This 447-nucleotide ribosomal RNA is filed under the name uncultured bacterium. RNAcentral describes it as "partial 16S ribosomal RNA". It matches the Rfam family "Bacterial small subunit ribosomal RNA", at positions 29 to 523 of the family's 1533-position model. The record is from RNAcentral.
AACGAACGCUGGCGGCAGGCUUAACACAUGCAAGUCGAACGCCCCGCAAGGGGAGUGGCAGACGGGUGAGUAACGCGUGGGAAUCUACCGUGCCCUGCGGAAUAGCUCCGGGAAACUGGAAUUAAUACCGCAUACGCCCUACGGGGGAAAGAUUUAUCGGGGUAUGAUGAGCCCGCGUUGGAUUAGCUAGUUGGUGGGGUAAAGGCCUACCAAGGCGACGAUCCAUAGCUGGUCUGAGAGGAUGAUCAGCCACAUUGGGACUGAGACACGGCCCAAACUCCUACGGGAGGCAGCAGUGGGGAAUAUUGGACAAUGGGCGCAAGCCUGAUCCAGCCAUGCCGCGUGAGUGAUGAAGGCCUUAGGGUUGUAAAGCUCUUUCACCGAUGAAGAUAAUGACGGUAGUCGGAGAAGAAGCCCCGGCUAACUUCGUGCCAGCCGCCGCCGUAA